CGUAAUCCGGGUUGCGGACAGUGUCUGGUGGGUAGUUUGACUGGGGCGGUCUCCUCCUAAAGAGUAACGGAGGAGCACGAAGGUUGGCUAAUCCUGGUCGGACAUCAGGAGGUUAGUGCAAUGGCAUAAGCCAGCUUGACUGCGAGCGUGACGGCGCGAGCAGGUGCGAAAGCAGGUCAUAGUGAUCCGGUGGUUCUGAAUGGAAGGGCCAUCGCUCAACGGAUAAAAGGUACUCCGGGGAUAACAGGCUGAUACCGCCCAAGAGUUCAUAUCGACGGCGGUGUUUGGCACCUCGAUGUCGGCUCAUCACAUCCUGGGGCUGAAGUAGGUCCCAAGGGUAUGGCUGUUCGCCAUUUAAAGUGGUACGCGAGCUGGGUUUAGAACGUCGUGAGACAGUUCGGUCCCUAUCUGCCGUGGGCGCUGGAGAACUGAGGGGGGCUGCUCCUAGUACGAGAGGACCGGAGUGGACGCAUCACUGGUGUUCGGGUUGUCAUGCCAAUGGCACUGCCCGGUAGCUAAAUGCGGAAGAGAUAAGUGCUGAAAGCAUCUAA
This 551-nucleotide ribosomal RNA is filed under the name Salmonella enterica. RNAcentral describes it as "partial 23S ribosomal RNA". It matches the Rfam family "Bacterial large subunit ribosomal RNA", at positions 2234 to 2784 of the family's 2925-position model. The record is from RNAcentral. RNAcentral also lists the same sequence under 1 other name. Lineage: Bacteria; Pseudomonadati; Pseudomonadota; Gammaproteobacteria; Enterobacterales; Enterobacteriaceae.